UGGAAAUGUAGUCAACAAUGACAUAUGAUUUGCACUCAUAAAGUGUUUAAUUCCUUAAACCCUUUUC
This 67-nucleotide transfer RNA is filed under the name Cherax sp. HG-2014a. RNAcentral's name for it is "tRNA-Ala". The record is from RNAcentral. Lineage: Eukaryota; Metazoa; Arthropoda; Malacostraca; Decapoda; Parastacidae.